GGAGAGGUGGAUGAGUGGUUUAAGUCGCACGCCUGGAAAGCGUGUUUAGGAUCAUAUCCUAACGCGGGUUCGAAUCCCGCCUUCUCCGCCA
RNAcentral lists this transfer RNA (91 nucleotides) under Pseudomonadota bacterium. Its description in RNAcentral is "Proteobacteria bacterium tRNA-Ser". It matches the Rfam family "tRNA". From Rfam's summary of the family: Transfer RNA (tRNA) molecules are approximately 80 nucleotides in length. RNAcentral also lists the same sequence under 1 other name. The record is from RNAcentral. Lineage: Bacteria; Pseudomonadati; Pseudomonadota.